This 253-nucleotide ribosomal RNA is filed under the name uncultured bacterium. RNAcentral's name for it is "partial 16S ribosomal RNA". It matches the Rfam family "Bacterial small subunit ribosomal RNA", at positions 524 to 776 of the family's 1533-position model. The record is from RNAcentral.
UACGGAGGGGGCUAGCGGUGUUCGGAAUUACUGGGCGUAAAGCGCGCGUAGGCGGACCUGCAAGUCGGGGGUGAAAGCCCGAGGCUCAACCUCGGAACUGCCUUCGAUACUGCGAAUCUCGAGUCCGGGAGAGGUGAGUGGAAUUCCUAGUGUAGAGGUGAAAUUCGUAGAUAUUAGGAAGAACACCAGUGGCGAAGGCGGCUCACUGGCCCGGUACUGACACUGAGGUGCGACAGCGUGGGGAGCAAACAGG